CACGCAUGUUUUCAUGGUGUGAGUGUGAAACCCCUUAAUCUUACAUUUAAGGUGUCUAGUCAGGGGUUCCUAUUAUUUGUUGUGAUUAAGGGGGUAAU
This is a long non-coding RNA of Alosa sapidissima (American shad), 98 nucleotides long. RefSeq lists it as uncharacterized. The record is from RefSeq and is a predicted model, not a curated record. The transcript is spliced from 3 exons. Lineage: Eukaryota; Metazoa; Chordata; Actinopteri; Clupeiformes; Clupeidae.